RNAcentral lists this long non-coding RNA (6409 nucleotides) under Homo sapiens (human). RNAcentral's name for it is "non-protein coding lnc-RPS27L-9:2". Lineage: Eukaryota; Metazoa; Chordata; Mammalia; Primates; Hominidae. The record is from RNAcentral.
AUUCAUUGCUCAUUGCUUCCAAAUCCAAGGAACAGGCAUCUCGGAUCACUGCGCUGUGAGGGCAGGAGGACCCUUCUUUUGGAAAGCGGAAACAGGGCUACCCGAUCUAUCGGUGUCCUAUGGAACCACACUGCCCCCUGUGGUCAGAACCACCUGGGAUGCAGAACAGCAAGGACUGCAAACUUGGGUGCAGAGGGCUUUCCUCCACGCAACCCAGGAAGCUCCGUGAUUGGCAAACUGCUCUGUCAGGAUCCAUCGAAUCAGCAAACAUAGGUGCCUCUAGGAUGCAAACCAGGGAACAGGACUGUUAUGUGGCUUGCUGGUAGCCAAGCAAAAUGCCCCGAUCCAUCAGGUUGGUGAGAGGCCGCUGAAUGAGACCCAGCCUCGUGUUUUGUGGGAUGAAGAGAUGCAGACAAAGUGACUCAGGACCAGAAGGCCCCCUCAGUACCAUCUGAGGACACCGCAGUAGUGCCUAUUAAAUAACAUCCAGACAAGGCAUGGCCCUUCAACUAUCUUAUGAAAUGAGAAACCACCACACCGGCCACGAAGCCGUUCACAUACACAUGUGCAGGGUGGAUGAGGAAAGGACAGAUGAGAAACUGGGACCAUACCAGGUGAUAACUGAGAACCAAACUCCCCAAAGCUCCCAGCACUGGACGACUCCAGAAAGGGUCUCAGCACCACAGGCUCUAAGAUGGAGUGACUGCUAGAGACAGAAAUCAUGGCAACAAGUAGAACAUUUUCUGUCCACAUCCAGAGGGAGAAGCCACAGGAGGAAAUACCUUGAAGCUUGUGGGACGUGCCUGGUGAGGAUAUUCCGUUCAAUGACACAUCUGUCAUCUUUACAUGUUGACCAGCCAACAAGAACUUGCUGAGUACAGGACGGACAAGGUUGGCAUUCCGCUGGCUCUACAGGGGAUCAACGGGAAGGAUGGAGAGAACAGCUUGUGUGCCAGGUGGGGAGACGGACAUGGACCAAUACUGAAUAACCUACAACACAAUGGUUUAGAAAGAGAAUUCAAGGUAUGUGGACUGGACUUAAGCCAUGGCUAAGCUCACAAAAGACUUCCUGGAAGAAGAUGUACAGCCUAUGGUGAGGCACAACCUCCCUGUCUGUACUGCGAGUUCUUGGGUCAAGACACAACUCACCUCUACCUAUCUGUACACUGACAGCAAAGUCCUUUUAAUAUCAAACAGAAAUGAAUGACAAUGAUGGUGACCACAUUUCCCAAACCCACGAACGGUCAGGUUUCUGUGGCGCCUCUCCAUUUGAGAGGCUCUCUGAAAGCCAGUCGUGGAUAGCAUGCUUCCAUGUGUAUGUAAAUAACAAGACAUAUGGAACAUGUUAAAUCGGAAGACUGUUCCAUAUCCAGAAUUACUAAUGUACUAAUAAUCCUUUGAAUCCUCAAAAAAAACAAAAAACACUAUACUUUUAUGCCAAAGUAGAUGGAAUGGGUGACUAGAGAUAAAGCUGAAGAAAUUUCAGAUUUAAAAUCUGACUGGCCCAUUCACCAGCAGACUUAGGAAAGUGCUAACUGCGAAGCUGGCCAGUAUUCAGCUCGACAGUCCUAAAAACAAACGGAACCCUUUGGAGCUGGAAAGUGGUAUCAUAAAAGCCGCCGAAUGCGGUGCUUCUAGAGCGGCCCACCAGGAAAAUAUGACAGUUUACAUCUUUACGUAGCCUAAUGUACAGUGGGAAUAUAAAUAUCUCGUUCAGGCCCCAGUCACUGCCUGGAAUGGGAUGCUUUCCUUAACAAGAAGCAGAUGAGAGGCCCAGAAGCCAAACCUCUUAUUCUGUUGGUCUGAAGGCUGUAGUUUUCAGUCGGUCAGCACAGAGAGUGGCAAUUCAGGGAGGGAAGGCACUGCAUGUGUUUCCUUGGUCAGGACAAAAGCUUGUAGCUCUUUUCCUGGGCCCCCUGAGGCUCUCGUACGUUGAGUGUCCCGCAUGUGGUCAGCGGCUUUACCCACCUUUCCUUGGGCCACCAGCUCCCUCUGGGCUGCUGAGGCCGAUUUGACCAGGGCGCUUGUGGCAGCAGCAAUGGAUUUAGCAGCUUCCAAGAUCUGUUCCUCAAAGUCCAGGGUCUCAUCCGCUUGCUAUAACCAAAAGAAAACAGCAUCACAUUCAAUUCAUAUCCACAAAGGGCUCUUUCUUCCAAACUACUUACUGCCGGGUCACCUGGCUCUUCACCUGCCUAUUGUUUUUUGUUGACAAACCACACCUGAAAUGGGAUGGUUCCUUAACAAGAAGCAGAUGACAGGUCCCCUGUGCAAACUUUCAGGACUCUUAAGUCAGUUUGGUUAAGCCACCCUCGGGUCACAGUGUGGAAGAUGUGGCUGGUACCUUUCAGGCAUUAAGAGACAAUGGCCAGGCACAGCAAUAGUUUUCUUUGUAUGUGUGGUACAAUAUAUAUAACACAAAAUUUACCCUUUUACCUAAUGUUAAGUAUUAAUACACUGACACUGUUGUACAACAGCAAUACCAGGAUAGAAAGGUCAGGAUGCCUCUCCACCUGCAGCCCCUUCCCCCUAACUCCAAAAGGAAAAAGCCGUUAGCUUGACAUCCCACGGAAAUUUGCAGACAGACUCAUUUUCUGGAACAAAAUCUUUAAAGAUAUACACUCACUGUGAACAAAAUACACUCAAAUGGUUUUAGCAACAUCAAUAACUGAAACCAAAAUAAUAAAAUCAAAACAGUAGAUCAUAGCACUUACUCUCUUCUAGAGCCUAAGCCUCAAAAAUGGACUUUAAAAAAAAAAAAAGGAAAGAUGGCUACCAGUUCUGAAAAGUUGUCUUUUUCCUGGGUAAAAAUCAAAGCCAAACAGCACUGGCAUUUCUGUGGCUGAGCACUGAGAGAGUUAUAGACCAAGCACACAUUGCCCAGUGGUGAAAAAGAAACCAGGGCAACACGACAUCAAGGUGGAGCUUGUUCUGUCCUCUGGACACCCGAGGCACGGGAUCCACCUUGGGAAGAACACUGGACACCACUGUGUAGGUGUUAUCAGACCAUUAGGGUUCUGGUCUAAAUUCACCACCAUCUCCUUUGCUGCUAAAACAACUCAGGAAGUUGAAAAGAAGCUUUGGAGAAGUGGAACAAGUAUAAAGACUGUGGUCCCAGGCUCAUGGGUUGGAGCAUCACAGUUUUGCCGGGGGGUGGUCAGAUUAGACCUGUGUGACAACAUUCCGUGACUCUAGGUCAAUUUGGUUAAGCUGCCCUCAGGUCACACAGUGUUGAAGAUGUGGGUGGUACCUUUCAGGCAUUGAGAGAUGAUGGCCAGGCCCAGCAAUACUUUUCUCUGUAUGUGUGGUAAAAUAUAUGUAACACAAAACUUACCCUUUUAUCCAAUUUUAAGUGUACAAUUCAGUGGCAUUACGGACAUUCACACUUUGUGCCAACAGUAGUAGAUUUUUAAGAGUGCCUACUGUGUACCAAGUAUUUUGUUAGGCACUUCUACAUACAAUGACUUAAUUCUCACCAAAAAAAAAAAAAAAGAUCGUAUAUUGGAAUUAUCUUUAUCCUUAUUUUUACAGUGAGAAAACCCAGGCUCAGGAAGGUAGAUGAUUGGGCCAAGGUGAUGUGGCAGCAUGAAGCAUCUAAACCAGAAUCUAAACCUAAAUCUGACUCCAAAAUGAGGCACUUUAACUAGCCAAAGCCACCCCUUGGGGCAUCAGUGAGAAACGGUUUGUGCCAGAGGUUCAAAGUCAGCUUGCUAACGCUCCCAUGUGAAACGUCAGACAGGAGGGAUACAAGUCUUCUCCAGCUCUCCAUUCAUAAUGCCACAUCUUGAACCAUGAAAGGUGCUAAUCCUUUUUCUUUAUAACCUACAUUAUCAAAAUACAAUUUCAAUGCACUUCUAAUGGAUCUGAAUGAUGGUAGCAUUUCAGAAGUUCUGAGACAGACUUGUGCAUUCUUUCUUAUUGCUGACCAAGUCUUGCUCUAAGAGUAUUCAGGACAGACAUGAAUUUAGUUCUACUGGACUCAUUUUGGACUGGUGGAGUAUAGAAUUUGGUGACUGAAAUACGGAAAUGAUCCAUUGUAAGACACUCUCGUAUAAAAGGAACUCUUGUGUAGUCAGUCCCCAAAUAAAUUAUAGUAGGCUCUAAUUUAUAUAUAUUAAAUAUAUAAAUAAUGUAUAUUUUAAUAACCGUGAGAUUAAGAGCUUUUCUGGAAAUUCAUUCUGCCAAAGAAUGUCAGGCACAUAACAGAUUAAAGCACCAGGGAAAUCACAGAAUUUUUGACUCCAAACUCCUCAUCUCAUUUUGCAGAUGAGGAAACGGAGGCUUGUGGGAGCUCUUCAUGGCGGCUCCUGAAGUCUCUCACGCUCUUGCCUCAGGUGUCCUCAGCUACUCUAUGGGUUCCACGCCCGAGUCCACUUUACAGUGUGGAAUACUCUGUCAGACUUUUUAUUUCCCAAAUUUUAAGAUUUUCAAAAAUGGAAUUUCUUUAAAAUUAAGUGCUACGUCUUUAGCAGGGGUAGAUCUGAUAGGAUCAUCUCAUCACAACUGAUUUUACGAGCCUCUCCCACAUCUUCCGCUGCCUGGAGUUUUUUUUUUUUUUAAACACAAGCUUGUAAUAAUAGAUAUUCAACUUGGAAAUAUUUUUGACACCCACAGAUUUUUCUGGUAAUGGCAACUGUUGUAAUGUUCUUUGACGAAUUUUUAUUUUUCUUCCCACAACAUCUCUAUGCUUUAAAACAGAUACGGCAGAAGUUCUUAUCUCUGGGAGACAUUUGCUCUGAUAAGAAAGUAUUAAGAUUCUCCCUAGAAAGGCUGACUGGGAUGGCACAGGGAUGGAGGGCUAAUGUUAGAUACUACAGUUUGGGCAGAGUACCCUGAUGAAACCUGCCUUCUGACUGCUGUGUCCCUAUUUUCCUGUAUGCCAGGUUUAUGACUAAGACGCACUGCCCACCCUACCUCUACUGCUGAAAUCAGACACCAAUACUUAACGUGUCCUCAUACCAUACAACUUCUAGCCUUAGAGAAAAUGGCAUCUCUCCAAGCCAAGGAGACAUGGUCAAAAACCCAGGUGCCCCAUCAGUUCCAGCUCCCAUUAGCAUGCAGAAUGGAAUAGGGGAGAAGGUAGGAAGGACACACACUUAACCAUAUCACAAGAAGGAAACAGAAUUGGCUUGGUCUUCAAAGGACUUUCCUAAAUAAAAGAAUCCCAAUUAAAAUGCAGAAUUUGUUAAUGGAACAGUCCCCACUGCAGCUGAGAGACUGGGGAGACUAAGAAGAACAACAUGGUGCACAGUGACUCCGGGGAAGAAUCUGCAGGCUGGGCCCUCUCCUGGAGCUCUCAUUCUCACCUUCUCACCAGAGAGGCUCACCUGGUUGGUGUCUUAAGGCCCUCUUUAGCUGAGAUGUUACUGACCUGACCAGGGUCAGUCAGAUCUCUCCUUCUGGUUUAUAAAGGGGAUAACGGAAUCCUCGCUUCUGGGUGUUUCAUUCUUUCCACAAUUGGAUCAUGUAAAGACCCGCUAAAAUAAUCUUUUAAAGAUUAUGACUAAUCCUGUGCAUGUGGCUAUUUAUGUUUCUCUAUAACUACUGGCAUCAAGCUAAAGCAAGGAACUUUAGAAAACAAUUUCAUUAAACAGGAUAAAUUGAUAGUCUUUAGCCAUAAAAAAGAGUGAGAUCCUGCCAUUUGCAACCACAUGGCUAGAACUGGAGAUCCUUAUGUUAAGUGAAAUAAGCCAGGCACAGAAAGACAAACAUUGUAUGUUCCCACUUAUUUGUGGGAUCCAGAAAUCAAAACAAUUGAACUCAUGGACAUAGAGAGUAGAAGGAUGGCUCCCAGAGGCUGGGAAGGGUAGUGAGGGGCUGGGAGGUAGGGAUGGUUCAUGGGUACAAAAAAAUAGAAUAAGACCUACUACAUGUGACAGCACAACAGGGUGACUAUGGUCAAUAACUUAAUUGUACAUUUUAAAAUAAUUAGAACAGUGUAAUUGGAUUGUUUGUAACACAAAGGAUAAAUGCUUGAGAGGAUGGAUACCCCAUUCUCCAUGAUGUGCUUAUUUCACAUUGCAUGCCUGAUAUUGUUUGGCUGUGUCCCCACCCAAAUCUCAUCUUGAAUUGUAGCUCCCAUAAUCCCCACAUGUCAUGGGAGGGACCUGGUGGGAGGUAACUGAAUCAUGGGGGCAGGUCUUUCCUGUGCUGUUCUCGUGAUAGUGAGUAAGUUUCAUGAGAUCUGUUGGUUUUAUAAAGGGGAGUUCCCCUACACAAGCCCGCUUGCCUGCCGCCAUAUAAGAUGUAUCUUGCUUCCCCUUCGCUUUCCGCCAUGAUUGUGAGGCCUCCCCAGCCAUGUGGAACUGUGAGUCAAUUAAACCUUUUCUUUAUGUAUCACCCAGUCCUGGGUAUGUCUAUAUUAGUUGUGUGAGAACAAGCUAAUACAAUGCCUGUAACAACACAUCUCAUG